This 2615-nucleotide long non-coding RNA is filed under the name Pan troglodytes (chimpanzee). RNAcentral describes it as "long non-coding RNA NONPTRT009553". Lineage: Eukaryota; Metazoa; Chordata; Mammalia; Primates; Hominidae. The record is from RNAcentral.
AGGAGCUGUUCCAGCAUCGGGCCCUGAGGAGACAGGUGACAAGCCUCGUGGUGCUGGGCAGUGCCAUGGAGCUCUGCGGGAAUGACUCGGUGUACGCCUACGCCUCCUCUGUGUUCCGGAAGGCAGGAGUGCCAGAAGCGAAGAUCCAGUAUGCGAUCAUCGGGACUGGGAGCUGCGAGCUGCUCACGGCGGUUGUUAGUGUGAGUCUGGACGGUGCCCUUCCUCCACCAGCCCUGUGGGGAGGGACCCCCAGGUCCUCUGCAUUAAACCAGUUUACACUCCAGCUUAUGGUGUUAAAAUGCAGUGAGGGGCCAGGUGCGGUGGCUCAUGCCUGUAAGCCCAGCACUUUGGGAGGCCGAGGUGGGUGGAUCACGAGGUCAGGAGUUCGAGACCAGCCUGGCCAACACAGUGAAACCCCCGUCUCUACUAAAAAAUACAAAAAAUUAUCUGGGCGUGGUGGCGGGCGCCUGUAAUCCCAGGUACUCGGGAGGCUGAGGCAGGAGAAUCGCAUGAACCCAGUAGGUGGAGGUUGCAGUGAGCCGAGAUGGUGCCAUUGCACUCCAGCCCAGGCAAUAGUGCUGAGGUGGGAUCAGGAGUUGGAGACCAGCCUGGGCAACAUGGUGAAACCCCGUCUCUACAAAAAAUACAAAAAUUAGCCAGGCGUGGUGGUCUUCGCCUGUAGUGCUAGCUACUGGCGAGGCUGAGGUGGGAGGAUCACUUGAGCCUAGGAGGUUGAGACUGCAGUAAACCGAGAUUGUGCCACUGCACUCCAGCGUGGGCUGGACCAGUGAGACCCUGUCUCAAUCAGUCAAUCAAUGCAAUGAGUUAGAGAGCAUCUAUUGAGCAUCUACGGUUUGCGGGUCACUUCCAGCACCAUUUUGAGAUGUGGAAACUGGCUGAAGUUGGGUGAUUGAUUGACCAAGUUCCUUUGGGAAAUUAAUAAAGUCACACUGAAGCAAUAAACUACCAUCACCUCCACCACCAGCUUUCUCAGGAGACCCCUUCCCAUUGCCUGCCCCAGACCUCAGGGACCAUGGCUGGGUGUGUGGGUCUGUGCUUUCUGCCUUUGCAGUGUGUGGUAAUCGAGAGGGUGGGUCGGCGCGUGCUGCUCAUCGGUGGGUACAGCCUGAUGACCUGCUGGGGGAGCAUCUUCACUGUGGCCCUGUGCCUGCAGGUAGCUGGGGUGGAUGAGGGCUGGGGGGUCCAGGCUGGGCUGACUUCCACCUCACCCCCGCCCCGUCCACGGCAGAGCUCCUUCCCCUGGACACUCUACCUGGCCAUGGCCUGCAUCUUUGCCUUCAUCCUCAGCUUUGGCAUUGGCCCUGGUGAGUGGGCCCAAGGGGCUCUGGGCAUCCGUCAUCACAUAGAAGGAGUGAUGGGUGCCUGGGUGCACAGUGGGUGGGUGUGAAUGCAAUGUCCCCUGCAGGCCCUCAGAGACCACCUCAUGCCGGGGCUUCUGGGAGGGAAUGGCAGGAGGAGAGCACUGAGGGGCCCCCCAUACAGACUGGGCCUGGGCUCCCACUCCCAUGUCUGGGCUGGGGUCGGGGAGAGGCAGGCAGGGAGCCCUGGCCAGCAGCCCCCUGUCCCUGCCCCUCCUUCUAGCCGGAGUGACGGGGAUCCUGGCCACAGAGCUGUUUGACCAGAUGGCCAGGCCUGCUGCCUGCAUGGUCUGCGGGGCGCUCAUGUGGAUCAUGCUCUUCCUGGUCGGCCUGGGAUUUCCCUUCAUCAUGGAGGCCUUGUCCCACUUCCUCUAUGUCCCUUUCCUUGGUGUCUGUGUCUGUGGGGCCAUCUACACUGGCCUGUUCCUUCCUGAGACCAAAGGCAAGACCUUCCAAGAGAUCUCCGAGGAAUUACACAGACUCAGCUUCCCCAGGCGGGCCCAGGGCCCCACGUGGAGAAGCCUGGAGGUUAUCCAGUCAACAGAACUCUAGUCCCAAAGGGGUGGCCAGAGCCAAAGCCAGCUACUGUCCUGUCCUCUGCUUCCUGCCAGGGCCCUGGUCCUCACUCCCUCCUGCAUUCCUCAUUUAAGGAGUGUUUAUUGAGCACUCUUUGUGUGCAGACAUGGCUCCAGGUGCUUAGCAAUCAAUGGUGAGCGUGGUGUUCCAGGCUAAAGGUAAUUAACUGACAGAAAAUCAGUAACAACAUAAUUACAGACUGGUUGUAGCAGCUCAUGACUGUAAUCCCAGCACUUUGGGAGGCCAAGGUGGGAGGAUCAAUUGAGGCCAGAGUUUGAAACCAGCCUAGGUAACAUAGUGAGACCCCCUAUUUCCACAAAAAAAUUUAAAAAUUAGCUGGGCAUGGUGGUAUGUGCUAACAGCUCUAGCUACUCAGGAGGCUGAGGCAGCAGGAUCACUUGAGUCCAAGAGUUCAAGGUAGCAGUAAGCUACGAUCACACCACUGCAUGCCAGACUGGGUGACAGAGGGAGACUUCAUCUCUUUAAAACAUAAUAAUAAUAAUUACAGACUCAGGAAAUGCAGUGAAAGAAAAAUACAGGUUGGCCAGGUGAGGUGGCUGAUGCCUGUAAUCCCAGCACUUUGGGAGGCCAAGAUGGGAAGAUUGCUUUGAGACCAGAAGUUUGAGACCAGCCUGGGCCACAUAGUAAGAUCCUGUUUCU